UGUAGUCAAAGCUUGCUUUGUCUAUGUAUCUUUACAAACAACCAUUGAUGUAUUUGAAUGACAUAUUAAUAUUGUAAAACAACUUUCAACAAUGGAUCUCUUGGUUCUCGCAUCGAUGAAGAACGCAGCGAAUUGCGAUAUGUAAUGUGAAUUGCAGAAUUCAGUGAAUCAUCGAAUCUUUGAACGCACAUUGCACCCUCUGGUAUUCUGGAGGGUAUGCCUGUUUGAGUGUCAUUAAUCUCUCAACACAGACAGGUUUUGUUACCUGUUCUGUUGUUUGGAUUUUGAAGGCUUUGCUGGCAGUCUGACUGUCAGCUCCUUUUAAAUGCAUUAGCAGAAAUCAUGCAGAACUGGCUUCAGUUUGAUAAAGAUUUAUCUAUGUUGCUGUCGCCAGGAUAAUGCUAGUAUUUUUCAGCUUCUAAUAGUCCUUUCAGGACUGUCUCACUUGAGGCAUACAAACUUGACACUUGACCUCAAAUCAGGUAGGACUACCCGCUGAACUUAAGCAUAUCAAUAAGCGGAGGAAAAGAAACUAACAAGGAUUCCCCCAGUAACUGCGAGUGAAGAGGGAAGAGCUCA
RNAcentral lists this ribosomal RNA (579 nucleotides) under uncultured fungus. RNAcentral's name for it is "eukaryotic LSU rRNA". The stretch from base 81 to 234 matches the Rfam family "5.8S ribosomal RNA". Lineage: Eukaryota; Fungi. The record is from RNAcentral.